GCCCAAUGUGUUAAACAAUUCCCAAAAAUACCUCAUGCAGAUCGGGUAGUAGCAGAUUAUGCUUUGGCUGAAAUGGGUGAUCCUAGUGAGAUUUUGUGCGACAUGUAUGGGAUGUACAUUAGACGGGAGGAACUUUCUUGUCUAAAUGCAGGGCGGUGGGUUAAUUCAAUGGUAGGUUACUUAUCCUUAUGCCUUACUAAAUUCACAAUUAAUAAGUCAUAUGAAUCGAUAAAGUGUUGAUGGAGGUUGUAAAAUAUGUUAUUUUACACAACUUUGGCAGAUUGUUGCGAUUGUCUCUCGCAUAAUGAAUGGACAGCAAGCACCACCACCUCGCGCACACUUUUUUGAGCCUUCAUUCUCGGUUGUUCUGAGCAACCUCAAAUCUAAUGCAACCACGCAAGUCAUCUUGGAAAGAUGCGCUAUGUAUCUGGAUCCUGACACAUUGGGCCAUGAUCUUCUUAGUUCA
Vitis vinifera (wine grape) is the source of this 466-nucleotide long non-coding RNA. RefSeq lists it as uncharacterized. Lineage: Eukaryota; Viridiplantae; Streptophyta; Magnoliopsida; Vitales; Vitaceae. The record is from RefSeq and is a predicted model, not a curated record. The transcript is spliced from 3 exons.